UAGCCGGUAUGAAGGCCUUUGAUCUUCCAUCCUGUUGCAGUAUCAUUUUAUUUAUUUUAAUUGCUGUUAUGGUCUCACAUCCAGCAGAGAUAUUAGGGCCCCAGGGACUGAAAUAAUUCAUGCCUCUUGCUCUGUGAACAAGAACAUAAUGUAAAACUCAGCCAGGGAGCAAGCUUAAAAUAAUCCUCAAGAAGCUUUGCCCCUGGGAUUCUGCCUUAAAUGUAGCUCCUGAUUGCAGGACCCAGGGUGGAAAGCAUGGGGCAGAGAUAACAUGUUCCAGGCACUCGGAGGCAGCUUAUUAAAGGCAUCUUGGACCAGCUACCCAGGAAGGCAGGAAGUACAUAUUUUGAAGAGACAGGAGGUAUUCUCCCUGCCAAUCUGUAUCAUCAUCUCAUCAGCAUCAUGGCACCUUAUAAAUGCACUGGAGUGGAUACAAAGUCUAAGUAAGAUGCAGUUCCUACCUUCAUGGAGCAUAGUGUCUGGUUCUCCUGUUUUAUCGGACUGA
This 505-nucleotide long non-coding RNA is filed under the name Monodelphis domestica (gray short-tailed opossum). Its description in RNAcentral is "lncRNA (ENSMODG00000048241.1)". Lineage: Eukaryota; Metazoa; Chordata; Mammalia; Didelphimorphia; Didelphidae. The record is from RNAcentral.